Molecule: long non-coding RNA, 566 nt
Organism: Oncorhynchus tshawytscha (Chinook salmon)
Lineage: Eukaryota; Metazoa; Chordata; Actinopteri; Salmoniformes; Salmonidae
Source: Ensembl
UUAGAGUAGAGGGUAGAGUAGGGGGUAGAGUAGAGGGUAGAGUAGAGGGUAGAGUAGACGGCAUUAGAGUAGAGGGUAGAGUAGACGGCAUUAGAGUAGAGGGUAGAGUAGACGGCGUUAGAGUAGAGGGUAGAGUAGACGGCAUUAGAGUAGAGGGUAGAGUAGAGGGUAGAGUAGACGGUAGAGUAGACGGCAUUAGAGUAGAGGGUAGAGUAGAGGGUAGAGUAGACGGUAGAGUAGACGGCAUUAGAGUAGAGGGUAGAGUAGACGGCGUUAGAGUAGAGGGUAGAGUAGAGGGUAGAGUAGAGAGUAGAGUAGAGGGUAGAGUAGACGGCAUUAGAGUAGAGGGUAGAGUAGACGGCGGUAGAGUAGAGGGUAGAGUAGAGGGUAGAGUAGAGGGUAGAGUAGAGGGUAGAGUAGAGGGUAGAGUAGAGGGUAGAGUAGACGGCAUUAGAGUAGAGGGUAGAGUAGAGGGUAGAGUAGACGGCAUUAGAGUAGAGGGUAGAGUAGACGGCAUUAGAGUAGAGGGUAGAGUAGAGGGUAGAGUAGACGGCAUUAGAGUAGAG